This 2325-nucleotide long non-coding RNA is filed under the name Neodiprion lecontei (redheaded pine sawfly). Its description in RNAcentral is "uncharacterized LOC124292625". The record is from RNAcentral. Lineage: Eukaryota; Metazoa; Arthropoda; Insecta; Hymenoptera; Diprionidae.
AGCAGCGAAAGGAGAGCGACGUGCUUGGUGUUCUGGGACUGUAGUCGUAUUGUUCGGACUGUGAAGAAUAAUUUGAUCAGUUACUGCAGUCCCACUUACCACGCUGUCAACAUCCGACAUAAUUGAGGUAUACAUCGUAGUCAAUGUCGUAUUCGCUGAUGUUGCAGUUGACGUCCCCGACUCCAACAUACUGGACAGAUCUGUGCCUUGGAUACCCUGAGAAUAGAAUAACGGAGCUCAGACGAAGUUAUCUUGGUGUUAAAAUGGGACUAAUGUGAAUACUCGGAUGAUGCAAAGUACGCCAAAAGACAAUGGAUGUUUUUUUACACAUCGAGAUAAAGUUGUGAAUUUAUAUUUAAUUACGGUACAAUCGUGCCAAGUCGUAAUUGUUUGUUAACGUCUUGAUAAUAAGGAUUGUUUGAAGGGACAGCAUGUGAAAUCGAGUGUUCAGUACUGAUACUUCGCACCUUAAUUUUGCUGGAGCUGAAAUUUUUUAUAAAAAUUAACUGAAUCGAAUCGCUUAAUCCCGUGCUACGAAGCUCGAGCGACAAUAUUUAAUUUCGUUGGAAAAUAUUGCUCGUCUCAAUACAGAAAAAUACCGUUAAGUAUCCUCCGCCCAUUGCCAGCGGGGUGAAUUGAAAAAUCUCGGGACCAAUAUUAUUAUAUUUUGAUAGAAGUUUGUGACCACGAUACAUGUACAGUAAUGAAGGUCCUCGACGCGAAGGUCAAAUUGUUUUUUGUCGGUGACGUUUCGAUUCGAGCUUCGUCGGCCAUCUUCAGACAACAAAACUUUGAACCCCAUUUUAUAUUGCGUAAAUGGCAACAUAGCAAAGAAAUUCAUUAGUUUAUGCUCUGUUAAUUUUAUCCACGUGUUCUCUCAAUUUAAAACGAUGUAUAAUCGUUUACAAGUGAAACAGUAAAUUCCAUUAUACUGAAAGUUAUUAUAAUAAUCCCUAGAGAGAACGGGAAUCAGUUGAACGGUACAUCGGAUGACUUCACAGCAAAAAACCACAAGUCCGUAAUACAUUUUGAUAUUUUGAUACAUGUUAAAAAUUGAAUGUAAAUAAACAAAGUAUCAGUACUGCAAAGAAUACGGCAAUGUUUAGUAACGAAAGAAACGUUUCUCGCAUUUUCCGUGAAAAAUAACUGGCAUUAAUACUACAUUGAUUUCCAAGUAAGUGUUAAUAAUUCAUUUUGCAUAGUUUCAUAGUUCUUCUUUAUCCAAAUCAAGGUUCAUCGUUAACAUUAUUUUAUUUUACUCACCGUAACAGCGACCAGGAGGCACAAAGCAAUUGCGAAUUUUGCCAUCUUGAACGAUUUGGAUUGAGUAGAAUAGUUGGUAGUUGAAUUGAAACAAAGUUGUGAUACGAUAUGCCGAAAUUCGCGCUCCUUAUAUACCUACGCAAUGAAACCAGCGUAAUCGUGUGCAAAUUAAACACUUGUGUAAACCCCGGAAUAGGAGGAUGAACAGCGAAAAGUAUGGAGUGGUUAAAGCCACGACAGGAAGUUCUCUAAACUGCACUAAAGAUGUAAAAAAUUGACUGCUCAUUUUUUGGGAAUGAGUAAUCUUUCACAAGGCUCACCAGAUAUUUGGCCUAGGAAACGAUUCAAUUCUAGAAGAAUAAUGGAACCUGUUCAGUAUAAAAUUCUGUGAUUUAGGAAUAUCGGAGGUAUCUCAGAAAAAAAAUCGAGAUGUACAGAGUAUUUCAACACAGGUAACUAAUUUCUUAAGUCUUAUUGCACUUUUCUUUUCUAGGUCGAUCACAUUAGUCUACUUUGUUGUUUUGACUUUUCAUUUUUCAGCUCUGCAAUAACUAUCAACUUUCUUAAGAUUCCUGUUUUGAUCGGUAUCAAUCCAUUUUGGAUUUCCCAUGACUCGUAUGGAAAUUCCCAGCUUUGUUUCAGCCAUUUUAGAUCAUAUUGUAUCUAAGCCUGUGCGAAUCUUGGAAAAGUAGAAGACCACCAAAAUUCAUUUACCUUCUCGACAUUUCGCAAAAUAAACUCGUGUACGCCAUUUGUGUAGCAGUUGAAUGUUUGCUUCGUUAGUAUUAUUUCUACAUCGAGUUACGUCGUAGUGAUAAAUGAAGAAAUUAAGAUAAGGUUGAUGCUCCAAAUUACGACUGAUCGUCAGAUGGUGCAAGAUAAUAGUAAUGAAUUAAUGAUUCUGAUGCAUUUCUUUUCCGCGAAAAGUAGAGAAAUAUAUUGCAUUCCAGCAAUUUAUUUGACGAAGGUAACAAAAACUUUUAUUUCCCAUUUUUUAAAAAAUAUACAUAUAUUUAUUGGGCUAGAACGAAAUUUUUCUUAUCGAUGUUAGUUAUCGUAGUA